RNAcentral lists this ribosomal RNA (497 nucleotides) under uncultured bacterium. RNAcentral describes it as "partial 16S ribosomal RNA". It matches the Rfam family "Bacterial small subunit ribosomal RNA", at positions 28 to 507 of the family's 1533-position model. The record is from RNAcentral.
GAUGAACGCUGGCGGCGUGCCUAAUACAUGCAAGUCGAGCGAACAGACGAGGAGCUUGCUCCUCUGACGUUAGCGGCGGACGGGUGAGUAACACGUGGAUAACCUACCUAUAAGACUGGGAUAACUUCGGGAAACCGGAGCUAAUACCGGAUAAUAUAUUGAACCGCAUGGUUCAAUAGUGAAAGACGGUUUUGCUGUCACUUAUAGAGGGAUCCGCGCCGCAUUAGCUAGUUGGUAAGGUAACGGCUUACCAAGGCAACGAUGCGUAGCCGACCUGAGAGGGUGAUCGGCCACACUGGAACUGAGACACGGUCCAGACUCCUACGGGAGGCAGCAGUAGGGAAUCUUCCGCAAUGGGCGAAAGCGUGACGGAGCAAAGCCGCGGGAGUGAUGAAGGUGUUCGGAUCGUAAAACGCUGUUAUUAGGGAAGAACAAAUGUGUAAGUACCUAUGCACGUCUUGACGGUACCUAAUCAGAAAGCCACGGCUAACUACGUG